Molecule: ribosomal RNA, 682 nt
Filed under: Bacillus subtilis
Lineage: Bacteria; Bacillati; Bacillota; Bacilli; Caryophanales; Bacillaceae
Description: bacterial SSU rRNA
Rfam family: Bacterial small subunit ribosomal RNA
Source: RNAcentral
AGACACGGCCCAGACUCCUACGGGAGGCAGCAGUAGGGAAUCUUCCGCAAUGGACGAAAGUCUGACGGAGCAACGCCGCGUGAGUGAUGAAGGUUUUCGGAUCGUAAAGCUCUGUUGUUAGGGAAGAACAAGUACCGUUCGAAUAGGGCGGUACCUUGACGGUACCUAACCAGAAAGCCACGGCUAACUACGUGCCAGCAGCCGCGGUAAUACGUAGGUGGCAAGCGUUGUCCGGAAUUAUUGGGCGUAAAGGGCUCGCAGGCGGUUUCUUAAGUCUGAUGUGAAAGCCCCCGGCUCAACCGGGGAGGGUCAUUGGAAAUUGGGGAACUUGAGUGCAGAAGAGGAGAGUGGAAUUCCACGUGUAGCGGUGAAAUGCGUAGAGAUGUGGAGGAACACCAGUGGCGAAGGCGACUCUCUGGUCUGUAACUGACGCUGAGGAGCGAAAGCGUGGGGAGCGAACAGGAUUAGAUACCCUGGUAGUCCACGCCGUAAACGAUGAGUGCUAAGUGUUAGGGGGUUUCCGCCCCUUAGUGCUGCAGAUAACGCAUUAAGCACUCCGCCUGGGGAGACGGUCGCAAGACUGAAACCUUAAGGAAUUGACGGGGCCCGCACAACCGGUGGAGCAUGUCUUUUUUUUCAAGCAACGCGAAGACCCUACCAGGUUUUGACAUCCUCUGACAAU